CUUUGGCCCCAACCUCAUGGUCCCGAGGAAUCCAACCUGAUCUCCAGAUGAUUUACAGAUUCUUCUUUUGCUUUCUCCAAACCUUUUCCCAUGUAACCUGACUUUGAUGUGAGUAGGGAAGUCAUGUGAGCAACCACAAGCAAAAAUGAAUAUUUGCCAGUGUCUUACACUUCCUCCACCUGUUUUACACACCUUGGACCCAAGCACCAGGUAGACUGUAGCUGAGCUACUAUUCUCAUGGCCCCCAGAAUUUCAGCAGCUCCUCCCCUUUCCACUAGGACGUGGCUGCUCACCAUGCAAAAUCUGGGGGUGUCUGUGUGGGGUGUUGGUCCACAACAGGGAUGCAGGGCUGACCCAAAGCUCCUCAGCCACAUCUUCUCCUGAAGAAGUUCUACCAUAAGUUCAUCCCUCCAAAUGAAGCUUUGGGAAGAAAAAAAAAUCAGUGAGUGGAUUCAAAUCUGGUGAGUAGCUCCUGUGAAAAGAGAGAGUCAUGGUAAAGCAUCUCUACUUUUCUAUCAGUGUUUCUUAAAUGCAAAGGUUGGCCAUGGAAAUGCUGCAAUGUUUCAUUUUGUUGUUUUUUUUUCUGAGUGCUCACCUGUUUCAGAUCUGCUUUUCAUCAUGCUUCAGUUUCAGAAAUUAACUUGAACUGAAGGAGAAGGUUAUCCAAAAAGAUUAUAUGGCCCCCAAAUGAAGUCAGAAGUAUUAUCUCACGUCUAGCCAAAAAUUUCAUUUUGACCCACUAAUGAAAGUUUCUAGGAUUGUUUCUUCCAUUUCAGUCCUAAAACAAGUAAGGUAUUAUCAUUGGGCUAGACACAAACUAAUAGUCCCUCCCCAGCAGGACUGUAAGAACUACAGGGGAAGAAAUAUUAGACAAGGUAAUUAAUUGUUAGUAUAAUUAUCAAAAUUGCAGCUGUAAUAACUUUUUACAUGGACAAAUCUUGGUGAUAAAGCUGGUCAGACCUCCCUGACCUGGGAUCCACUGGCAUGGACCUAUUUUCCUUCAGGGAAUGUGGCUGGGCAUGUCAAAAUAGCUGGUGACCCCUCUACUCCAUCUGCUUGGCUCCUUCUCAGGACAGCAAGCAGACAGAUCAUGAAAAAAAAGGAGAACAGAAUGUCAGACCAAAUGUCUUGGACAGAAAUGUGCAGGUUGUUCUGAUCAACCCCUCUGAGAAAUUGUCUGCUGAAAGACUUGGGCGCUUCUGUACCUCAUAGUUCACACAUCAUAAUUUAUGUGCCUUGUCCAGCAUUUUUUCCCUGUCGUAAUCGUAGAAAGGGUCUUAGUUCACCGGUGGAUCUGGAUUCUGUGGUCACAGAAAAUUCAAGGAUAAGCCCUGUGCCUUAACAGAAGAAAAGCGUGGUCCGAGAGCCAUUUUUCCCAUAUGAUUCUUCAGAGCUGGCCCUCAGCUCACCGCUGGCCAAAAAAACCCCACAAAGGCUGGUUUCUUUCUUCUUCCAGAGUUUCUUAUUCCACUAAAGACGUGUUAUUAUUUUAAACUUAACGGGAAUUUAAUCAGAAAGGAGUGACGCAGCGACUAGUCACCAGCUGAGCCCUGCAGAGCUCUGAGGGAUGGGGCCAAGCCCCAGUCCAGCCAGCCAGGGCUCUCUUUUGGGUUUGGAAAUCAUUCCUGCUGCCUCCCACAGACGCUCCGUGGUCGUGGCAGCUGAUUGAAUGAAAACCCUUCACCUGCUGUGGCUCUCGCUCAGCUUCCCUCCCUGCCAAGUCCUGGCCUUGCUGGUAGCAGCCUGAAAAGGCCCAAAGUGGCUUAAAACUGUGGCAGAUGUUUUGUUUUAACAGGAGGGGAGGAGAGGGGGAGGAAAGGGAAUCGGUGACAGGCGGUGAAGAAGAAAGGUGGGAGGAAAAAUAACAAAAUGGAACCAUCUCAUCUGCCUCUAUCCCUCCAUUAGCUGUCACAGCAAGCAAGGGUGGUUCAGACUGGUUUAUCUCCGAGGGAUGCUGUGCUGCUGAAUGGAAAACAAGCUGGAGGUGUUCACUGAGUACUUCCCACUUUGAGUUAGAGCAUGCAAACAAAACAAAACAAAACAAAACAAACAAAAAAAAAAAAUCCAGAAAAGCCAAAAUUUGACCUCAAACUAAACUCUGAUAAUUUUUGUGCCUCAUUAAUAUAAACUCCAUUUUCUAUCCUGUUCUCAUGCCUCUGAGUUCAGCCUGAGAUUUUGUUUUAAAUGUGUCUGAAAUGCGCAGUUGUUCAGGUCAAGGGUUUUGCUUUGGCACUCAAUUAACUAUUCCUGGCUGUUCCUGUGCUACGGGAGGUCUGAGAGUAUUUCCAGGUUUAUCAGCAGCUUUUAUUCUGGAAGUUGCUCCUCUAACCCUGCAUUUUUGUGUGUGUUGCUGAUAACCCAUGUCUGAAAUAAUGGUGUGGCUCUGUGCCUCGUUGGGAUCCACCUGGGUGUGGAAAAAAAGGAUUUGCCAGAGGGGUGCAAUUUUGCCAUCUCUGUUCCUACCGAGGAGACUUCUGAGCUCCUGAAGAUCUUUAGAUGUAAUGAAGCAAAUCCUCAGUGAAACGCCAGUGAGAUUCAGACCCUCAGUCCUGCAGUGGGGAUUAUUUUGUUGAGCAUUAUUUCCCCCUCCUUUUAUAUUCUGCAUUUCUCUGGUGUCUUUAAAUCAAAAUCCAAACUGCUUCUUCUCCCCCAGCCCCACCAACAAUCCCUGAAGGUGUCCCCUGCUUUUGCUUCAGCUGUGACACUGCCAAGCCAACAGCAACAUCAAAGAAAUCUGCAGAGCUUCCCAAGUAGCAGCAGUGGAAAGGAAAGGCGGGAUGCCAAGGUUGCUGUGGUACAGUAGGAAAGCAGGAAAGUUUUCUCCAUCUGCUUAAAGGAACUGUAGACAAAUACAGCUAACACAGGCACCAAAAAGCACUUCCAAGAGAUCCCCAGCUCACAAGACUCUUUUAGUAGCCACACUGAUUGUGGAAUUUUUUAAAGAGUAAACAGGGAUGCAGCCUUCUUGUUCUGGUGCAGAAGAAGAAAAUUGCUGUUGAGAAACCCCACCUGCUUUCCAUUUUUAGGACAUUUUUCCAUUCUUAGGAAAGACUGUGGACAAUUGUCUAACUAUAUAAAGGAUGUUUUAUUUCCCUUUGAUUAGAAAAAAAAUCAUAUGCAGGACUUGCAACUGUUCUAAGGACAAAAUGUGUGACAAGAAUGAAUGGCUCUUUUUUUCAUUAAUAUGUAUGUCUUUGAGCUAAGCUUUUAGUGGAAAAACUACUCUAGAGAAGCCUAAAUGUGACUUGAAGUCUGAUCCUUUGUUAACUUGGCAAAUACCUGAGGAUGAAGUAUGGAGAAGAGCUAACCUAUAAAGUAUCCUGUAUUUUAACAGCCUGUUUCUCCAUUAGGAAUUUUUAGACAUCAAUAGAACGAAUUGUCCUGUAUUGUAUGUUACAUGUCUGUGUGCUGUAAAAGCAUUAAGGGUUUUGUCAGCUUUCUGCCUUAACCCUUAAAGACAUCCCUGAUGUCUGGUGCUCCAGCAAAGUCCUUGUCCUCAGCCUUUUUUGGGGGCUGCUGUUGAUUUUAUGGCUGUGCAGGCACAUCAUGGUUUGUUUUCACCCUCGAGGAGAUCCAGAUGCUGCUGGUGGAUUUAUCACCGUUCCUGUUCUUAUUUGCUUGUGAGCUCCUCCAUGGACCACGCUAGUCUCAGAUGAAGGAAUAAAUAAAUAUUAAGCAAGGACACACCUUCUGAUGUGUCAGAAGGUGUUCAGAUUACAGAAUCUGAAAAGAUUCUGUAAUUCCAGCCUCAUUUGUAAGACAGGGACACCCUGCCAGGGUGAGCUCCAGACGGGUAUUGCUCAGCUCGUGUCUCUCCCUGUUGACAAGAGCUGGUUGCUCUGACCAGACUUUGAACCUUCUCUCCAGGCUUUCUGGCGCCAUCUUCACUCCUUCCUGCCUUGUUCUGGGACAGGGUGGCUCCCUGUGUGUCCUGCCUGACCUGGGAAGCUCUGAUAGCCCCACCAGCAGCUCCCACCUAGACAAUGUUCACGUCGUCCUGGUUGUUUCCUGAAUGCCUGACCUUGAGAUAACCACUGUCCACUCUCUCCUUCCACGGGUACAGCAUCUCCAGCAGCUCCCACCAGCCAGAGACAGCCCCAAUUUGUAAUGGACUAACUGUCCAUGUCCUCACCUUCAUCCACAAUAAAUGUGAGGGAACUCCAGUGUCACUGAGUCGUGAGAACCCCCAAGUGCCAUCGCUGUUACCCCAGGAUGACAUUUGUGCAGGGCUGCCACACUGGACAGCACCUCCAGCUCAAUCCUGCAAAAAUAUAGAUCUAUUUCUCCUGAAAUACCUAUUUUUGAUUAUGGUAUCAUGGUGGCCUUGCCUGCAAACAGAACCAAAGUAACAAACUCCUUCCUUCCCUUUCCUGGGCCUGAGGGCUUGCCAGUUCUCCCAACUGCAUGUCGGGCUGUGGAGAAAUUGCCCCCACUGAAAUUAAUUCUUUCUCCCUCUAAAAUAUUGUUUAUAGCCCAGAUCACCUCCAAGAUCUGACUCACACCUUGGCUGUGCAGUGUGGGCAAGGGGGAUGGUGGAGCAACACCAUUGUGAAGAUGCAGAAGGUGUUUCAGCUGUUCUUGUGUUACAACAAAUUACUCACUUUAAUGAUUCAAUCAGUCACGACAACCUGCUGGGGGGAGCACAAGAGCACUUGGCUGGGUCUAACCACCGACCCCACAGUCCUCAGGCUUCAGCUGUGGACCACCAGGGCCGUAAGACCCGGAGAGGAGGGCUGUGAAAUGAUUGACGACUUUCCUCCCUAUGGUGGACAACCAAACACAAAAUCCUCGCCAGGUAUUCGUUCUCAGGAGUGCAGGGAAAAAAUACAACCAACCAGUAAAACAGUGCAACAAGUGAGCGUGCAUCCUAGCUGUAUUUUUCUAGUUUUCUUAAAAAAAAAAAAAACACAAAAAAACCAAGAAAAAAAAAAUGGUGAUGGCACAUGGAUGGUGGACUCAGGGUGCUCCUCAAAAAAAAAAAAAAA
This 4985-nucleotide long non-coding RNA is filed under the name Taeniopygia guttata (zebra finch). Its description in RNAcentral is "lncRNA (ENSTGUG00000029477.1)". Lineage: Eukaryota; Metazoa; Chordata; Aves; Passeriformes; Estrildidae. The record is from RNAcentral.